RNAcentral lists this small nucleolar RNA (117 nucleotides) under Cavia porcellus (domestic guinea pig). RNAcentral describes it as "Small nucleolar RNA SNORA42/SNORA80 family (ENSCPOG00000019223.2)". Lineage: Eukaryota; Metazoa; Chordata; Mammalia; Rodentia; Caviidae. The record is from RNAcentral.
GUAUGGGUUUGAUGCCUGAAGUCUCUCAGACUGUCCCAUGUCAGAGCAACCUGUAGCCCCCAACCAUUUCCUGGCCUCUGUGCCCAUACCCACUGGUACUAAGGCAGUUACAAGAGG